Long non-coding RNA from Onychostoma macrolepis, 589 nucleotides. RefSeq lists it as uncharacterized. The transcript has 4 exons. NCBI's taxonomy places the organism in Eukaryota, Metazoa, Chordata, Actinopteri, Cypriniformes, Cyprinidae. The record is from RefSeq and is a predicted model, not a curated record.
UUCGGAACCCGCCAUAAAACCAAAAGAAGAAGAAGAAUAUUUUCAUUCUUCAUUCAGUCCGCGCGCGUUUGUUGUGUCUUCUGAGAUCUGCUCCUCCUCCAGUGAAGCUCCUCCCACAACAAGCACACCUUCAGUGAAGCUCCUCCCACAACAAGCACACCUUCAGUGAAGCUCCUCCCACAAUAAGCACACCUUCAGUGAAGCUCCUCCCACUGCAGUUCAGCAAUAAAUGCUGGAAUAUUCCCAUCAGUCUACAAGUGAAGACGAGCAUCAGAGCAUCAGGAAGAAGUGAAAUCUGCAGAGACAGAGUUUAUUGAAGGACAGAGAGAACAUGAGAGAUCCAGAACCCUGCAGAAUGAAACACACUGAAGAACAAACAGAGUUUAUUGAAGGACAGAGAGAACAUGAGAGAUCCAGAACCCUGCAGAAUGAAACACACUGAAGAACAAACAGACGCAGUAGUGAAGCUAUUCUGUGGAUCUUCACAUGAUGUUUACUGCUCCUCUCAAGACGACUUCAAACUAUGAUAUACAGCAUUUAUCAUCUUUUGGUGAUGGAUCUCUAUCAGGGACUUCUGGUGAUGGAUGUG